RNAcentral lists this ribosomal RNA (801 nucleotides) under uncultured bacterium. RNAcentral describes it as "bacterial SSU rRNA". It matches the Rfam family "Bacterial small subunit ribosomal RNA", at positions 8 to 798 of the family's 1533-position model. The record is from RNAcentral.
AGAGUUUGAUCAUGGCUCAGAUUGAACGCUGGCGGCAUGCUUUACACAUGCAAGUCGGACGGCAGCACAGAGAAGCUUGCUUCUUGGGUGGCGAGUGGCGAACGGGUGAGUAUCAUAUCGGAACGUACCGAGUAAUGGGGGAUAACUAAUCGAAAGAUUAGCUAAUACCGCAUAUUCUCUGAGGAGGAAAGCAGGAGACCUUCGGGCCUUGCGUUAUUCGAGCGGCCGAUAUCUGAUUAGCUAGUUGGUGGGGUAAAGGCCUACCAAGGCGACGAUCAGUAGCGGGUCUGAGAGGAUGAUCCGCCACACUGGGACUGAGACACGGCCCAGACUCCUACGGGAGGCAGCAGUGGGGAAUUUUGGACAAUGGGCGCAAGCCUGAUCCAGCCAUGCCGCGUGUCUGAAGAAGGCCUUCGGGUUGUAAAGGACUUUUGUCAGGGAAGAAAAGGCUGUUGCUAAUACCGACAGCUGAUGACGGUACCUGAAGAAUAAGCACCGGCUAACUACGUGCCAGCAGCCGCGGUAAUACGUAGGGUGCGAGCGUUAAUCGGAAUUACUGGGCGUAAAGCGAGCGCAGACGGUUACUUAAGCAGGAUGUGAAAUCCCCGGGCUCAACCUGGGAACUGCGUUCUGAACUGGGUGACUAGAGUGUGUCAGAGGGAGGUAGAAUUCCACGUGUAGCAGUGAAAUGCGUAGAGAUGUGGAGGAAUACCGAUGGCGAAGGCAGCCUCCUGGGAUAACACUGACGUUCAUGCUCGAAAGCGUGGGUAGCAAACAGGAUUAGAUACCCUGGUAGUCCAA